AAUGAACGCUGGCGGCGUGCCUAACACAUGCAAGUCGAACGAGAAAGCACUUCGGUGUGAGUACAGUGGCGAACGGGUGAGUAACGCGUAAGAAUCUACCUAUUUGUGAAGGAUACCCUCGAGAAAUCGAGGCUAAUACUGCAUACGUCCUAAGGGAGAAAGGAGGCCUCUUGCUUCCGCAGAUAGAUGAGCUUGCGUACUAUUAGUUAGUUGGUAGGGUAAAGGCCUACCAAGACGAUGAUGGUUAGCCGACCUGAGAGGGUGAUCGGCCACAUUGGGACUGAGACACGGCCCAGACUCCUACGGGAGGCAG
Molecule: ribosomal RNA, 313 nt
Filed under: uncultured bacterium
Lineage: Bacteria
Description: bacterial SSU rRNA
Rfam family: Bacterial small subunit ribosomal RNA
Source: RNAcentral